This 540-nucleotide ribosomal RNA is filed under the name uncultured bacterium. Its description in RNAcentral is "bacterial SSU rRNA". It matches the Rfam family "Bacterial small subunit ribosomal RNA", at positions 777 to 1317 of the family's 1533-position model. The record is from RNAcentral.
AAUAGAUACCCUGGUAGUCCACGCCGUAAACGAUGUCGACUUGGAGGUUGUUCCCUUGAGGAGUGGCUUCCGGAGCUAACGCGUUAAGUCGACCGCCUGGGGAGUACGGCCGCAAGGUUAAAACUCAAAUGAAUUGACGGGGGCCCGCACAAGCGGUGGAGCAUGUGGUUUAAUUCGAUGCAACGCGAAGAACCUUACCUACUCUUGACAUCCAGAGAACUUUCCAGAGGUGGAUUGGUGCCUUCGGGAACUCUGAGACAGGUGCUGCAUGGCUGUCGUCAGCUCGUGUUGUGAAAUGUUGGGUUAAGUCCCGCAACGAGCGCAACCCUUAUCCUUUGUUGCCAGCGGUCCGGCCGGGAACUCAAAGGAGACUGCCAGUGAUAAACUGGAGGAAGGUGGGGAUGACGUCAAGUCAUCAUGGCCCUUACGAGUAGGGCUACACACGUGCUACAAUGGCGUAUACAAAGAGAAGCGACCUCGCGAGAGCAAGCGGACCUCAUAAAGUACGUCGUAGUCCGGAUUGGAGUCUGCAACUCGACU